GGGUGCUGCUCGCAAAUUAGCUACACAGAGAAAGAAUAUAGAGGUCGUUGAAUCUGUUGGUGUAGCAGCGAAGCGAGUGAAGCUGCCAGCCUAUUUAAUUAAAAAAGAAGGGAUCUUGCACUUUUAUUAAAACACGACCAGCAGCAACAGCGACUAGCGUUCCCUUUUCAACUUCAACAGAGAUUCAGUGGCAACAGGUAUGUGAUGAUUUCUUCCUCCUCCUUCUUCUUCUUCUUCUUAUUCUUCUUCAGCGUCCAAAUAGCAGUGAAAUACUGGCGAAUUUUUUUUUACCUUCGAUUCUUCUUUCUAAGUCUUCUCCUCUUCGCUAAAAUGCUGCCUAGUUCUUCUUUCAUUGUUUUUAUGCCGCCCAGUUUUAACAGAAUGGUAUAUUGCCCUUCCUCUGAAUAUCAUAAGGAGGUUCAACUUCGGAAUUCAUGGUUAGGAGCAGUUUUCUAAGUAUUUCCCACUGAUGAUAUGUAUCUAUUAAGUUAUUAUUUUCUGGGGGUGAACUGGGGUGCAAAAGACACUAUUCAUUACUAACUAGUAAAGGGCUGCAAGAUGAACUAGGGUGCAA
This 574-nucleotide long non-coding RNA is filed under the name Nicotiana tabacum (common tobacco). RNAcentral describes it as "long non-coding RNA (NTAB_LNC001566)". Lineage: Eukaryota; Viridiplantae; Streptophyta; Magnoliopsida; Solanales; Solanaceae. The record is from RNAcentral.